UACGUAGGGGGCAAGCGUUGUCCGGAAUUAUUGGGCGUAAAGAGCGUGUAGGCGGCCAGGUAGGUCUGGUGUGAAAACUCGAGGCUUAACCUCGAGAUGUCAUCGGAAACCAUCUGGCUAGAGUCCGGAAGAGGAGAGUGGAAUUCCUAGUGUAGCGGUGAAAUGCGCAGAUAUCAGGAAGAACACCAAUGGCGAAAGCAGCUCUCUGGGACGGUACUGACGCUGAGACGCGAAAGCGUGGGGAGCGAACAGG
This 253-nucleotide ribosomal RNA is filed under the name uncultured bacterium. RNAcentral's name for it is "partial 16S ribosomal RNA". It matches the Rfam family "Bacterial small subunit ribosomal RNA", at positions 524 to 776 of the family's 1533-position model. The record is from RNAcentral.